Molecule: transfer RNA, 72 nt
Filed under: Halosauropsis macrochir (abyssal halosaur)
Lineage: Eukaryota; Metazoa; Chordata; Actinopteri; Notacanthiformes; Halosauridae
Description: tRNA-Trp
Rfam family: tRNA
About the family: Transfer RNA (tRNA) molecules are approximately 80 nucleotides in length. Their secondary structure includes four short double-helical elements and three loops (D, anti-codon, and T loops).
Source: RNAcentral
AAAAACUUAGGAUAGUAUUAAGACCAAAAGCCUUCAAAGCUUUAAGCAGGAGUGAGAAUCUCCUAGUUUUUG